RNAcentral lists this ribosomal RNA (495 nucleotides) under uncultured bacterium. RNAcentral's name for it is "partial 16S ribosomal RNA". It matches the Rfam family "Bacterial small subunit ribosomal RNA", at positions 28 to 507 of the family's 1533-position model. The record is from RNAcentral.
GACGAACGCUGGCGGCGUGCCUAAUACAUGCAAGUAGAACGCUGAAGGAGGAGCUUGCUCUUCUGGAUGAGUUGCGAACGGGUGAGUAACGCGUAGGUAACCUGCCUGGUAGCGGGGGAUAACUAUUGGAAACGAUAGCUAAUACCGCAUAACAGUAGAUGUUGCAUGACAUUUACUUAAAAGGUGCAAUUGCAUCACUACCUGAUGGACCUGCGUUGUAUUAGCUAGUUGGUGGGGUAACGGCUCACCAAGGCGACGAUACAUAGCCGACCUGAGAGGGUGAUCGGCCACACUGGGACUGAGACACGGCCCAGACUCCUACGGGAGGCAGCAGUAGGGAAUCUUCGGCAAUGGACGGAAGUCUGACCGAGCAACGCCGCGCGAGUGAAGAAGGUUUUCGGAUCGUAAAGCUCUGUUGUAAGAGAAGAACGAGUGUGAGAGUGGAAAGUUCACACUGUGACGGUAUCUUACCAGAAAGGGACGGCUAACUACGUG